Molecule: long non-coding RNA, 769 nt
Organism: Pseudopipra pipra
Lineage: Eukaryota; Metazoa; Chordata; Aves; Passeriformes; Pipridae
Exons: 2
Source: RefSeq, a predicted model, not a curated record
GUCUGUCCCUCCUGAAGGGCCUGUAACCAUCAAACGGGGCACUCCAGUCACAGGUCUCAUCCCACAAAGUCUCACUUACGCCAAUCUCUGGGACUGGGCCAAAGCUUCAAGCUCCUAUUGUUAGUUCCCCAUACAAUGUGCAUUGGUGUAGAAGCAUUUCAGAUGUGAUACAUUGUAGCCAAUACCUAGUGAAGCAGAUUGAUGGAUCCCAUUAGUGCUCCUUUCCUAAAGUUUUGGCACACCAUCCCAUUGCUCAUCACUGAGCCUCAUACCUGUUGUAGAAGCUACCAGUUCUACCUGUCAAAUUUUGAGAAGAAGGAGGAACCUUCCUCCUGGUACAUGCAGUGACCAGCUUUCAGCCUUCAUCUUUAACAGACCCUCGACUAAGAUUUCUUUGACUAAUUUCCCUGUAGGGUUCUGUCUUCACCUGAUUCUCCACUACGAUGUAGGUUUGAGACUCUCAAGAGUUGUGAGACUGUACCAUCUCUGAAAAUAAUUUUUGUAUCUUUCUCGUUCGCUUGAAUACUAUGUAGCCUGUUCACACCUUCCCAUAGCUCCUUCCCCUGAUGACACAGCUCUUCAACCACGACACACCUGCAAAAUAACUGUCAGUCCCAGCCUCACAGAGAGUCAUCAGGCACUCCUGGCAAGUAUUUGCCAUUAUCCUUCAAAGUUAACAUACAAUUUUACUUUACUCUUAGAAUGACCAAGCCAUGUUUUCAGAUAUGUCUGUGCUCAAAAAAUAAAUUUAAAUGGAAGCAAAAGCUGA